Molecule: long non-coding RNA, 1866 nt
Filed under: Homo sapiens (human)
Lineage: Eukaryota; Metazoa; Chordata; Mammalia; Primates; Hominidae
Description: HSALNT0291869
Source: RNAcentral
GCGCGGAAACUCAUUCCGGGUCCUUAGCCCUGUCCUCGCGCCAGCUCGCACUCCCCUGAGCAGGCGGUGGAGCGGCUCGCCGCCCCAGGCCGCGGCCGAGUCUAGGCCCCGCCGCUGUUCACCCUGGGAAAUGUAGUCCGUGUUGCGCCUAGCCGGAAGGCGGCGCCCUGCGGAGGAGGCCGGGAGCACGUGGGUUGGGGACCUGCAGAGCCCCGCCUGUCCUCGGCCUACCGCGGCGAGCAGGCAUUCCGGGUCAGACCGGCGCGGGGCGCUGCGGCCCAACUCCUUAGUAGGACGACGUGACUCGAGGGGCCGGAGGACGGAGGUGGGAGCCCGGGCUAGAGGGUGGAGGCUGGGGAGGUUGCCUGGUCACUCUGGCGCUCCGCUGCCGGGGGCAUCCUCCGGCCCAGCAAAGGUGCAGCCUGGGAAGAAGGCGUCAGCACCACCCAGAGAAGAGGAGAGGGGACUUGGCACGCCUCAGGAAGGAAAAAAGGAAGGCUCUCGGGACCACCCAAUAAGCAACCGGGAAACCACAUACCAUGGACAGUGCUCGGGGAAUUUCGUAAGGUUUUUGGAAGUAACUUUAUGUGUAACUAGAGUAAGAGUAGCUUACAUUUAAGUGCUAGGAGCAGGACUUUGCUUACCUUAGGUUCAGUUUUCUUAAUAGCUCUGAGGUGGAUAUUUUUAUUCAUCAUUUUCAGAUGAGAUGAGGAAAUCGAGCUUGGGGAAAGUUAGGCUUAUCUUGCCCCUGGCACACAGACAGGGUGGCAGACCAUGCCAUAGAUCUGGUCUGCCACAGGCCCCGGUAGUUCCUGCCUGUCACCCCUCCAGUUGUAUUUUAUUGUUUAUUAACUCCUGCCAGCUACCCUAGCAGGGAAGAGGAAAAAAUUAAAAGUGCAAAGAGCUCCGUAGUUUUGUUCAAAUGGAGGAAGCUGGCAUUGGAAGCUGGCAUUGGCAGCAGCUGCUGAGGCCUGAGAAGGUCCAUGAAGGCUUCCCUGAGAAGAGAAACUUGAUCUGAGCUUGAAGAAUAGAGAGCCUGGGAAGGAGAGGGGCCCAUUUAGCUGGUAAGCAAAAUCCAGUAGGACUCUAAGUCAUUCAGCAAGUCUUCAUCAAUAAAGAAUAGCAAGUAGGCCGGGCGCGGUGGCUCACGCCUGUAAUCCCAGCACUAUGGGAGGCUGAGGCGGGCGGAUCACGAGGUCAGGAGAUCGAGACCAUCCUGGCUAACACGGUGAAACCCCGUCUCUACUAAAAAUACAAAAAAUUAGCCGGGCAUGGUGGCAGGCACCUGUAGUCCCAGCUAUUCGGGAGGCUGAGGCAGGAGAAUGGCUUGAACACGGGAGGUGGAGCUUGCAGUGAGCUGAGAUCACGCCACUGCACUCCAGCCUGGGCGACAGAGUGAGACUCCGUCUAAAAAAAAAAAAGAAAAGAAAAGAAAGAAUAGGCUCCUCCUCAUCCCUGGAGGUUCCAGGGAUCUGGCAGAGAAAGAAGCCCAGUCUCACAGCAAUGACUCCUGAACAUCCUUUGCAAACACUAUUUAGGACAGAUGGACUGAAGUAGGCCCUGGGGAGAGUUGGGGGCAUUUCCGGAGGCCAGACCAAAGGUGAUCUCCAGGAGAUUUGGAUGUUAGUGCAGGAUAGCUCAGAGCCAAGUGGCAGAUAAGUCUUUGGGAGCCAGAAGGGCUCUUUCUUCUCUAAGGAACAAGUGUAGACCUAUAGGGGCAAGAACCUGUGGCAACCCUGGGAGAGGUCUGCAGAUUCAGGAGGGAACAUCCCAAAACUCAGCAGAGGAGGAGAGGGAGCUUUUGUUGGUCACCUGGAACCACUACCAAUCCAUGUUCAUGUCAAAUUAAAUGAUCACUUUGAAGUU